Molecule: ribosomal RNA, 465 nt
Filed under: uncultured bacterium
Lineage: Bacteria
Description: bacterial SSU rRNA
Rfam family: Bacterial small subunit ribosomal RNA
Source: RNAcentral
CCUACGGGUCGCACCAGUGGGGAAUAUUGGACAAUGGGCGAAAGCCUGAUCCAGCCAUGCCGCGUGUGUGAAGAAGGUCUUCGGAUUGUAAAGCACUUUAAGUUGGGAGGAAGGGCAGUAAGCUAAUACCUUGCUGUUUUGACGUUACCGACAGAAUAAGCACCGGCUAACUUCGUGCCAGCAGCCGCGGUAAUACGAAGGGUGCAAGCGUUAAUCGGAAUUACUGGGCGUAAAGCGCGCGUAGGUGGUUUGUUAAGUUGAAUGUGAAAGCCCCGGGCUCAACCGGGGAACUGCAUCCAAAACUGGCAAGCUAGAGUAUGGCAGAGGGUGGUGGGAUUUCCUGUGUAGCGGUGAAAUGCGUAGAUAUAGGAAGGAACACCAGUGGCGAAGGCGACCACCUGGGCCAAUACUGACACUGAGGUGCGAAAGCGUGGGGAGCAAACAGGAUUAGAUACCCGCGUAGUC